Molecule: ribosomal RNA, 838 nt
Filed under: uncultured bacterium
Lineage: Bacteria
Description: bacterial SSU rRNA
Rfam family: Bacterial small subunit ribosomal RNA
Source: RNAcentral
UACGAGGGAUGCAAGCGUUAUCCGGAAUUAUUGGGCGUAAAGCGUUUGUAGGCGGGCGAGUGUGUUUAAUGUUAAAUCUUAAAGCUCAACUUUGAAAUUGCGUUAAAAACUGCUUGUCUUGAGUAUGGUAGGGGUAAAGGGAAUUCCCAGUGUAGCGGUGAAAUGCGUAGAUAUUGGGAAGAACACUAAACAGCGAAGGCACUUUACUAGGCUAAUACUGACGCUGAGAAACGAAAGGUAAGGUAGCGAAACGGAUUAGAUACCCGUGUAGUCUUACCCGUAAACUAUGGAUACUAAACGGUAAAUUUUUAAUUUACUGUUAAAGCUAACGCGUUAAGUGUCCCGCCUGGGGAGUAUGCUUGCAAAAGUGAAACUCAAAGGAAUUGACGGGGGCCCGCACAAGCGGUGGAGCAUGUGGUUUAAUUCGACGGUACACGAAGAACCUUACCAGGAUUUGACAUGCUAGAUAGUUGCUUGAAAGAGUAACGUGCCGUAAGGAAUCUAGACACAGGUGGUGCAUGGCUGUCGUCAGUUCGUGUUGUGAAAUGUUGGGUUAAGUCCCGCAACGAACGCAACCCUUGUCUUUAGUUAUUUUCUAAAGAGACUGCCUGUAAUAAACAGGAGGAAGGUAAGGAUGAGGUCAAGUCAUCAUGCCCCUUAUGUCCUGGGCUACACACGUGCUACAAUGGGAAAGACAAUGAGCUGCAAAUCUGUAAAUUUAAGCAAAUCUCUUAAACUUUCUCGUAGUUCGGAUUGUGGGCUGCAACUCGCCCACAUGAAGUUGGAAUCGCUAGUAAUCGCCAGUCAGCUAUAUGGCGGUGAAUCCGUUCCCGGGCCU